Molecule: long non-coding RNA, 729 nt
Filed under: Populus trichocarpa (black cottonwood)
Lineage: Eukaryota; Viridiplantae; Streptophyta; Magnoliopsida; Malpighiales; Salicaceae
Description: long non-coding RNA (PTRI_LNC001288)
Source: RNAcentral
CAAAGGUCUUCCCACCAAAGGUCUUCCCACCAAAGCCUUUUCCUCCACCACUUCCAGUCUACAAGAAGCCACUCCCACCUCCAGUUCCAAUCUACAAGCCAGAGCCAAAACCACCAGUCUUCAAGCCUCCUCCGGUCCCAAUCUACAAGAAGCCACUCCCACCUCCAGUUCCAAUCUACAAGCCAGAGCCAAAACCACCAGUCUUCAAGCCUCCUCCGGUCCCAAUCUACAAGCCAAAACCACCAGUCUUCAAGCCUCCUCCGAUCCCAAUCUACAAGAAGCCACUCCCACCUCCAGUUCCAAUCUACAAGCCAGAGCCAAAACCACCAGUCUUCAAGCCUCCUCCGGUCCCAAUCUACAAGAAGCCACUCCCACCUCCAGUUCCAAUCUACAAGCCAGAGCCAAAACCACCAGUUUUCAAGCCUCCUCCGGUCCCAAUCUACAAGCCAAAACCACCAGUCUUCAAGCCUCCUCCGGUCCCAAUCUAUAAGAAGCCACUCCCACCUCCAGUUCCAAUCUACAAGCCAGAGCCAAAACCACCAGUUUUCAAGCCUCCUCCGGUCCCAAUCUACAAGCCAAAACCACCAGUCUUCAAACCCCCUCCUGUUCCAGUCUACAAACCAAAGCCAAAACCACCAAUCUACAAGCCUCUCCCACCUCCUGUUCCCAUCUCCAAGCCUCUCCCUCCAAUCCCAAAGAUCCCUCCAUUUUAUAAGAAGCCAUUGCCCC